RNAcentral lists this ribosomal RNA (497 nucleotides) under uncultured bacterium. Its description in RNAcentral is "partial 16S ribosomal RNA". It matches the Rfam family "Bacterial small subunit ribosomal RNA", at positions 28 to 507 of the family's 1533-position model. The record is from RNAcentral.
GACGAACGCUGGCGGCGUGCCUAAUACAUGCAAGUUGAGCGCUGAAGGUUGGUACUUGUACCAACUGGAUGAGCAGCGAACGGGUGAGUAACGCGUGGGGAAUCUGCCUUUGAGCGGGGGACAACAUUUGGAAACGAAUGCUAAUACCGCAUAAAAACUUUAAACACAAGUUUUAAGUUUGAAAGAUGCAAUUGCAUCACUCAAAGAUGAUCCCGCGUUGUAUUAGCUAGUUGGUGAGGUAAAGGCUCACCAAGGCGAUGAUACAUAGCCGACCUGAGAGGGUGAUCGGCCACAUUGGGACUGAGACACGGCCCAAACUCCUACGGGAGGCAGCAGUAGGGAAUCUUCGGCAAUCGACGAAAGUCUGACCGAGCAACGCCGCGUGAGUGAAGAAGGUUUUCGGAUCGUAAAACUCUGUUGGUAGAGAAGAACGUUGGUGAGAGUGGAAAGCUCAUCAAGUGACGGUAACUACCCAGAAAGGGACGGCUAACUACGUG